GGGCCUGUUGCACAAAAGUAGAAUUAAGACAUCCGGGAUAAAUGACUAAGCUGAGCUCAAUGAAGCCAAAACAUGUGCGUCCAGGCUUAAUUGGUUGCACAAAGACCAAGCCAGGAUGAGCAGACACGGAUUCAUUAAGCCAGGUGAAACCAAUCCUGGAUAGGUGCGCGCUCACGGCUCACUCAAAUAGACCCCGCCACAGAUCACAGAUUAACUGAUUUACCAUGGCAACUAGAGCCGCGUACUUUUCCCCGUCGGAAGCACAAAUCCUCAUGGAGGCAUACGAGGAGGUAAAAUAUAUAAUUAAGAAGAAAGGCAACACCGCCACAGUGACAAAGCAAAGAGAAAAAGCGUGGCAAAGUAUUGCAGACCGCCUGAAUGCAUUAAACAUGAACGGGCCAAAACGGACAUGGCAGCAGGUCAAAAUCAAAUACAAGAACAUUCUGCAGAAUGCAGUGAAAAAGAAUACCCACAGACAAGGCACGGGUGGUGGGUCACCAAAGGCUGACCUUACCCCAGCAGAGGACAUGGCCUUGGAGCUAAAUAAAGGCAGGCCCGUCUUAGAGGGGAUCCCUGGGGGAAAGAGACGAGCAUAGGUUCCUCCCAAGAUGCCACCCGCUUCAUUCAAGUGUCUGGCAGCACUGUGUUCCUGUUAGAGCCACCAGCACAAGCACCAGACGAUGCUGAUCCAGGUGAAGGCCCCAGUGCAACAGCACAUGAUGGAGACGAUGAUGAUGAGGAGGAGACCAUCUCUCUGGAUUCCAGAAGGCAUGAGGUAUCAUGGUAAGACUGUGAAAGUACUAUUUACUCUACAAUGGUGAGGAGUCCUCAUCAAAAUCAAAAAAUCUAAUUUCUUUUACAGGACCCAGAUGCUAUACAGUGGGAAAACCAGCCUGGCAACAUAGUGCGUAUUAAUAAAAGGACACCACAUCCUGCCAAAUUCCAGCUGCGCUAAUUGUAUUGUGUUCAGAGCUCACAAGCUAUCAGAAAGUUGUAUGGCAACCACCUCCGGCGCCAAAUAGAACUGGCAGACAUAGACAUUCAGUACAAGAAGAAAAAGAUGGAAAAUCUUGCACUGGAGUCCGAAAUAAAAAAGAGGACAAUUAGGAAACUGGACCUUGAAAUAAAAAAAAACUUGAGAGGGAGCUCCAAGAAGAUGACACAGCUCAAAAUAAAAAUUAGGUAUAUUCUCG
Molecule: long non-coding RNA, 1193 nt
Organism: Oncorhynchus keta (chum salmon)
Lineage: Eukaryota; Metazoa; Chordata; Actinopteri; Salmoniformes; Salmonidae
Exons: 6
Source: RefSeq, a predicted model, not a curated record